AUUGAACGCUGGCGGCAUGCUUUACACAUGCAAGUCGAACGGCAGCGCGGGCUUCGGCCUGGCGGCGAGUGGCGAACGGGUGAGUAAUGCAUCGGAACGUGCCCAGUAGUGGGGGAUAGCCCGGCGAAAGCCGGAUUAAUACCGCAUACGACCUGAGGGUGAAAGCGGGGGACCGAAAGGCCUCGCGCUAUUGGAGCGGCCGAUGUCGGAUUAGCUAGUUGGUGGGGUAAAGGCUUACCAAGGCGACGAUCCGUAGCUGGUCUGAGAGGACGACCAGCCACACUGGGACUGAGACACGGCCCAGACUCCUACGGGAGGCAGCAGUGGGGAAUUUUGGACAAUGGGGGCAACCCUGAUCCAGCCAUGCCGCGUGCGGGAAGAAGGCCUUCGGGUUGUAAACCGCUUUUGUUCGGGAAGAAAUCCUCUGGGCUAAUACCCCGGGGGGAUGACGGUACCGGAAGAGUAAGCACCGGCUAACUACGUG
Molecule: ribosomal RNA, 484 nt
Filed under: uncultured bacterium
Lineage: Bacteria
Description: partial 16S ribosomal RNA
Rfam family: Bacterial small subunit ribosomal RNA
Source: RNAcentral